GCAGCACCUUAACUUCAGCUUUCUGUAAGUUUGUAAAACUUAAAACACUAAAGCAGAAAAUGGUUUGAGAGUUGUAGUCAACACAAGUGUGUCUCUUCUUCAGGGAGAACAGGAGAAUCAUAGCACCAUGGAAACAAAGAAACUGCUUUGUGACAGAGGAAAACCUUUCAUUUCAGCUGGAGUGAAUGGCGGCUUGCUGCGGAUAACAGCAUGGAUGUUGGCUUUGGGAGUCUUGAAGCGUCACCUUUGACAUGUCCCUCAUUCGGCGGGGGGUCCAGAAGGACACUGACCGCCGCAAGCUGUCACCUCGGCCGGCUGAGGACGCCCUGCGCUACCGCUCUAUUAGGCUAAACGGCCCCUGACAUGCGAGCAGGGGCCGGCCUGAUCAGAGCCUGCGCGUUUGGAGAGCUUGACACUCAUGCUGCAUAAUGCACUAACAACUCAGGGCGCACCGGUCAUGUUAUGUGUCAGCAUGUUAUUUCCUUCCGUGGCGCCGGAUUUUAUGGAGAUGCGUGGGUGCGUUUGUGGCACCACUCGGAACUUUUGUGUCAAUAAAAAUCUACCUGAUUCAAACAAGUAACAUGUUGCCUUUUUUUUUUUUUAAUUUAUUUACUUAUUCAUUUUUUUUAACAUCAUCGCGUAUUUUCCUUAAUUUAAAUAACUCUCAAACGCGAGGAUUAAGUGUGCCUUAAAUGGGA
Molecule: long non-coding RNA, 698 nt
Organism: Mugil cephalus (flathead mullet)
Lineage: Eukaryota; Metazoa; Chordata; Actinopteri; Mugiliformes; Mugilidae
Exons: 3
Source: RefSeq, a predicted model, not a curated record